GGGUAGGUGGCACAGUGGCGACUGCACCUGACUGUAAAUCAGGUACAUUAGAAACAUCAGAGGUUCGAAUCCUCUUCUGCCCA
RNAcentral lists this transfer RNA (83 nucleotides) under bacterium 1xD42-87. It matches the Rfam family "tRNA". Rfam says of the family: Transfer RNA (tRNA) molecules are approximately 80 nucleotides in length. Their secondary structure includes four short double-helical elements and three loops (D, anti-codon, and T loops). The record is from Rfam by way of RNAcentral.